CGCUAUCCAUCCUGAGCUCC
Molecule: microRNA, 20 nt
Filed under: Helianthus annuus (common sunflower)
Lineage: Eukaryota; Viridiplantae; Streptophyta; Magnoliopsida; Asterales; Asteraceae
Source: RNAcentral